AUGGAUUAUUUCCCAGCAAAUAAAGCUGCCACUUUAAGUAUACGUGUCUGUGUAUGAGUCCUGCAUUUGGGUCCUUCAUCCUGCCUGUCACACAGCCACACAUUACAACUUUUACCUCAUGUUAUUUGUUUCACAGCAAAAUCUUCCAUAUGCAAGCACCACACCUCAAAUCAACCCCAGCACUAUUAUCUGUUUAACUGAAAAUGACAUAACAAAGGAAUUGCCCACACCUGCCCAUGAAAUAGGCUUUGAUUCAAUUGUCCAAAUACUUUUGGUCCGUUUCAGAAGUGGGUGGCACAUGUUAAGGAGCUGAAACUCCGAAACCCUUCAUCCAGUUUGAAUGAAAUUGUCAUCUUAUAUCCCCUUGAGACCUCCAGUAAAUCUCCAGAACCACAAACUUCACUUGGUUCUUUUCAGGAACACCGUCUGAACCUCGUCAUGCUGAACCUAUUCUACUUCUCAUUUGAUUUGUGUUUUGGGUGGGGAAAAUUGUUUCUUUACUGAUCUUUUCCUGCCUUAUGUCACUAGACAUGAUAUGACUGCGCUAUGCUGUUGCUGCUGACUCCAGUAAAUUCUACAAGACAUGCUGUUGUAGAAUGAUGGACACCAGACUGUUUGGAUAUGACCUUAUAACCCUUCCAAGAUGCCUUUCCGGUCUUACAACAAAUAAAGGUUUGUUGCUCACUAAAAUGACCUGCGAUGGAUAUCUUUACUGCCGAGUAUUAGAAACAAAGGACAAGCUGAUGUGCAAAUUCUUUUUAUGAUUUGGACAAUAAUAGAACCAGAAGGACACUUAAAGAC
Molecule: long non-coding RNA, 801 nt
Organism: Oreochromis niloticus (Nile tilapia)
Lineage: Eukaryota; Metazoa; Chordata; Actinopteri; Cichliformes; Cichlidae
Exons: 3
Source: RefSeq, a predicted model, not a curated record